GUGAGGAAUAUUGGUCAAUGGGCGAGAGCCUGAACCAGCCAAGUAGCGUGCAGGAUGACGGCCCUAUGGGUUGUAAACUGCUUUUACACGGGGAUAAAGUGGUCGACGUGUCGUCCAUUGCAGGUACCGUGCGAAUAAGGACCGGCUAAUUCCGUGCCAGCAGCCGCGGUAAUACGGAAGGUCCAGGCGUUAUCCGGAUUUAUUGGGUUUAAAGGGAGCGUAGGCCGUCUGUUAAGCGUGUUGUGAAAUGUAGAUGCUCAACAUCUGAAUUGCAGCGCGAACUGACAGACUUGAGUGCGCAGGAAGUAGGCGGAAUUCGUGGUGUAGCGGUGAAAUGCUUAGAUAUCACGAAGAACUCCGAUUGUGAAGGCAGCUUACUGUAGCGCCACUGACGCUGAAGCUCGAAAGUGCGGGUAUCGAACAGGAUUAGAUACCCUUGUAGUCC
RNAcentral lists this ribosomal RNA (445 nucleotides) under uncultured bacterium. RNAcentral describes it as "partial 16S ribosomal RNA". It matches the Rfam family "Bacterial small subunit ribosomal RNA", at positions 354 to 796 of the family's 1533-position model. The record is from RNAcentral.